RNAcentral lists this ribosomal RNA (440 nucleotides) under uncultured bacterium. RNAcentral's name for it is "partial 16S ribosomal RNA". It matches the Rfam family "Bacterial small subunit ribosomal RNA", at positions 338 to 795 of the family's 1533-position model. The record is from RNAcentral.
CCUACGGGAGGCAGCAGUAGGGAAUAUUGCUCAAUGGGGGAAACCCUGAAGCAGCAACGCCGCGUGGAGGAUGAAGGUUUUCGGAUUGUAAACUCCUUUUGUUAGAGAAGAUAAUGACGGUAUCUAACGAAUAAGCACCGGCUAACUCCGUGCCAGCAGCCGCGGUAAUACGGAGGGUGCAAGCGUUACUCGGAAUCACUGGGCGUAAAGAGCGCGUAGGCGGGAUAGCAAGUCAGAUGUGAAAUCCUAGGGCUUAACCAUAAAACUGCAUUUGAAACUGUUAUUCUAGAGUAUGGGAGAGGUAGGUGGAAUUCUUGGUGUAGGGGUAAAAUCCGUAGAGAUCAAGAGGAAUACUCAUUGCGAAGGCGACCUGCUAGAACAUAACUGACGCUGAUGCGCGAAAGCGUGGGGAGCAAACAGGAUUAGAUACCCGGGUAGUC